This 605-nucleotide long non-coding RNA is filed under the name Parus major (Great Tit). RNAcentral describes it as "lncRNA (ENSPMJG00000009650.1)". The record is from RNAcentral. Lineage: Eukaryota; Metazoa; Chordata; Aves; Passeriformes; Paridae.
UUACUUAAUUUAAAUGCUGCCAAAGUUAAUAAUGAAAGACAACAUCCUCUGGUGUGUCAGAGCUCAGUGCCCAAGAAGAAAAGCAAGAGUGCCUUUCUGCACUCCUGUCUUUGCUAAAGGCAACCUGGAAAAAAACUAGAGCAGAUUCAGGGAUACUGUAAUUAGCAGGAUUUAAAAUGAUCUCUGCAGGUCACUUUUCUUGGCCCAGAAUUGCCCAAGAACUCGACACCUGAACCGGAGGUCUGAGGUGCCUGUGCCAUCAGAGGGUGCCCACAGUGUAUGUGCCACCCACAGGUACUCCAGGAAAACAAACUGCCUUGGAACAUCAGCUUUCCUUCACAGAAAUGAUGGAAAGUGGGAAGAGCACAGUUCAAAGAUUCAUUCCAGGAUUUUUGCUAGUACCUACUUUCUCUUUUUCACAUCAAGAACACCGAGCAGCACUGAAGAGAAGAAACUGCAUCAUCUAACUGCUGGAAGAGAUGAAACUCUGUGCAGCCCUUCAUGUCAAAUAAUAAAGGCCUUGAACACUUGCUGUGACUGUCACUUUAUGUUGAAUUUAUUGUACAGCAUGUGAGUUGUAAGGCUGAGGAGCCAUCUGUCAUAAG